GAGUUUGAUCAUGGCUCAGAUUGAACGCUGGCGGCAUGCCUUACACAUGCAAGUCGAACGGCAGCACGGGAGCAAUCCUGGUGGCGAGUGGCGAACGGGUGAGUAAUACAUCGGAACGUGCCCAGUAGUGGGGGAUAACUACUCGAAAGAGUAGCUAAUACCGCAUACGACCUGAGGGUGAAAGCGGGGGAUCGCAAGACCUCGCGCUAUUGGAGCGGCCGAUGUCAGAUUAGCUAGUUGGUGGGGUAAAGGCCUACCAAGGCAACGAUCUGUAGUUGGUCUGAGAGGACGACCAGCCACACUGGGACUGAGACACGGCCCAGACUCCUACGGGAGGCAGCAGUGGGGAAUUUUGGACAAUGGGCGCAAGCCUGAUCCAGCAAUGCCGCGUGCAGGAAGAAGGCCUUCGGUUGUAACUA
RNAcentral lists this ribosomal RNA (419 nucleotides) under uncultured beta proteobacterium. RNAcentral describes it as "bacterial SSU rRNA". It matches the Rfam family "Bacterial small subunit ribosomal RNA", at positions 9 to 432 of the family's 1533-position model. Lineage: Bacteria; Pseudomonadati; Pseudomonadota; Betaproteobacteria. The record is from RNAcentral.